GAUGAAGAACGCAGCGAAAUGCGAUAAGUAAUGUGAAUUGCAGAAUUCAGUGAAUCAUCGAAUCUUUGAACGCACAUUGCGCCCGCCAGUAUUCUGGCGGACAUGCCUGUUCGAGCGUCAUUUCAACCAUCAAGCCCCCGGCUUGUGUUGGGGACCUGCGGCUGCCGCAGGCCCUGAAAACCAGUGGCGGGCUCGCUAGUCACUCCGAGCGUAGUAAUACAUCUCGCUCAGGGCGUGCUGCGGGUUCCUGCCGUUAAAAAGCCUUAUUUACCCAAGGUUGACCUCGGAUCAGGUAGGAAGACCCGCUGAACUUAAGCAUAUCAAUAAGCGGAGGA
RNAcentral lists this unclassified non-coding RNA (335 nucleotides) under soil metagenome. Its description in RNAcentral is "partial contains 5.8S ribosomal RNA, internal transcribed spacer 2, and large subunit ribosomal RNA". The stretch from base 1 to 120 matches the Rfam family "5.8S ribosomal RNA", at positions 35 to 154 of the family's 154-position model. The record is from RNAcentral.